GGAGAGGUGCGUGAGCGGCUGAAGCGGGCGGUCUCGAAAACCGUUAAGGGUUCACUCCCUUCGAGGGUUCGAAUCCCUCCCUCUCCGCCA
RNAcentral lists this transfer RNA (90 nucleotides) under Candidatus Poribacteria bacterium. Its description in RNAcentral is "tRNA-Ser". It matches the Rfam family "tRNA". Rfam says of the family: Transfer RNA (tRNA) molecules are approximately 80 nucleotides in length. The record is from RNAcentral. Lineage: Bacteria; Candidatus Poribacteria.